AUACCCGCUUUCGGCCCGUCCCGGUUCAUCCCAUGAUUGGAGGCAGCGAACUGGGCCAUCGCCGGGCCCACAGCAUGCCGCUUUGCCUAGCCUCACAUACCAUUGUCCAAGUGCCCGGCGACGGGUAAGGCUAACGGGAUUGGCUUGGACUGUGGCCCCACAUGUGAAGAGUGUGACUUCUCCUUGCCGUGAGACUCCGAGACAUGACACCAUCGCCACCACAUGGUGUGACACCUAAAGCGUGCACAGUGAAAGCAGUGGGAGGAGUAUUAGCUUGCACACAUCUGUUGGGAGCGCGUGAUCCCGAGCCCACGGUGCGACAGCUAGCGCCUGCAUCGAUCCAACGCCUCGCCUCAACGGUGGUCGGUCGUCAUGGCUGGCGGGCGGGCGGGCGCGUGUGGGGGCGCUGCAGGCGAAGGCGUCGGAUCGUACGAGAUGAAUUACGUCGAACACAUAGCGGGCAUACGGUCACUGCAACGAGGAGGACACGGGUGUGUGCGCUGCUCUUUGGAUCGAUUUUGGGGUUGUGGUGGGAAUCCAUUGAACGUGGCAUAUAUGCGGAAGGCUGUGCAUCUGAAUGCGACGGCUUGCUAUCUGGAUGGGAUGGGAGCAAGUUUGAUGGAAUAUGCUGUCUGGUCCAGCUUCGUUUGCAGUAGCACUAUCUGCAAAGAAUAGAAGGGUGACAGGCGAGGCGAGGCGAGGCGAGUCAUCGGCAUGUCUCCAUAUGGCACAAGUGUCAUACCUUCCUUAUUGGGCAGUCGCGAACUGGCAUCAUGGACGUUCCCAAAUCAAUCUGGAUAUUUGGGAUAUUGAUCAGAUCAAAUUUGAUCUAUAAUUCCGACUUGAUAAAAUUGAUCUAACAUGAUCUAUUUUUGAAGUACUUUAUAUGUAUUUUUUAUGCUGAACAAA
Long non-coding RNA from Musa acuminata AAA Group (dessert banana), 909 nucleotides. RefSeq lists it as uncharacterized. The record is from RefSeq and is a predicted model, not a curated record. The transcript has 2 exons. NCBI's taxonomy places the organism in Eukaryota, Viridiplantae, Streptophyta, Magnoliopsida, Zingiberales, Musaceae.